This 358-nucleotide ribosomal RNA is filed under the name uncultured bacterium. Its description in RNAcentral is "partial 16S ribosomal RNA". It matches the Rfam family "Bacterial small subunit ribosomal RNA", at positions 338 to 693 of the family's 1533-position model. The record is from RNAcentral.
CCUACGGGAGGCAGCAGUGAGGAAUAUUGGUCAAUGGUCGCGAGACUGAACCAGCCAAGCCGCGUGAGGGAUGACGGUACAGAGUAUCGUAAACCUCUUUUGUCAGGGAACAAAGGCGGGGACGCGUCCCCGUAUGAGUGUACCUGAAGAAAAAGCAUCGGCUAACUCCGUGCCAGCAGCCGCGGUAAUACGGAGGAUGCGAGCGUUAUCCGGAUUUAUUGGGUUUAAAGGGUGCGCAGGCGGUCGGUUAAGUCAGCGGUCAAAGCCAGGGGCUCAACCCCCGCCCGGCGGUGGAACCGGGUAGUUUCGAGGUGGAGAGAAGUAUGCGGAAUGCGGGGGGUAGCGGUGAAAUGCAUAG